UAAUACAGAGGGUGCAAACGUUGUUCGGAAUUACUGGGCAUAAAGCGCACGCAGGCGGUCUGGUAAGUGCGGUGUGAAAGCCCCCGGCUCAACCGGGGAACUGCAUCGCAAACUGCCAGACUAGAGGACGGUAGGGGAGACUGGAACUCCUGGUGGAGCGGUGAAAUGCGUAGAUAUCAGGAGGAACACCGGUGGCGAAGGCGAGUCUCUGGUCCGUUUCUGACGCUGAGGUGCGAAAGCUAGGGUAGCGAACGGGAUUAGAUACCCCGGUAGUCCUAGCCGUAAACGAUGGGCACUAGCUAGAGGGGGCCCUGCGCCCGCUCUGGUGUAGCAAAUGUGUUAAGUGCCCCGCCUGGGGAGUAUGGUCGCAAGGCUG
This 376-nucleotide ribosomal RNA is filed under the name uncultured Planctomycetota bacterium. RNAcentral's name for it is "bacterial SSU rRNA". It matches the Rfam family "Bacterial small subunit ribosomal RNA", at positions 521 to 896 of the family's 1533-position model. The record is from RNAcentral. Lineage: Bacteria; Pseudomonadati; Planctomycetota.